Molecule: long non-coding RNA, 493 nt
Organism: Phyllostomus hastatus (greater spear-nosed bat)
Lineage: Eukaryota; Metazoa; Chordata; Mammalia; Chiroptera; Phyllostomidae
Exons: 5
Source: RefSeq, a predicted model, not a curated record
GUCAGACCCUGCCAGCAGCUCCUUUGCCUUUGAGCUUCUCAUCCACCGAAGAUACCAUGGGUCUCCAUGUGGAAUGAUUAUUAUAUUGGAAGGGUGACUGGAAACUCAGCCCUUUAGUCUGGAGGACUUAAACAGAUGUGUGAACACUAGGAUUUCAUCAUGUUUUAGAGGUGACCUUUAAAAGAGCAGCACUGAUGGUCUCCCUUCAUCCUCGUGUUGUACCUCCUUGGAGAAGGUCACUGGGGAGCCCCAAAUUGUUCUGAAAGAUGAGAAAACCAAGGCUCAGAGAAUUCAAGUGACUUGUUCCGAGUUAUCAACUGGUCUUCCUCUUCCCUCUCAAGCCAACCACCCAUCUGUUCACACCACAUGCUACCUAGCCUUCAGGUUCCUCUGGGAAGCCCAGGCUGCUUCUGUGCUUGCUCUCUGUGAUCACCUCCAUCACCAAGUUCAUUGUAUCAUCCAUUCUCUCUCACCCUCUCCACACUCUGUGCUC